Molecule: ribosomal RNA, 253 nt
Filed under: uncultured bacterium
Lineage: Bacteria
Description: partial 16S ribosomal RNA
Rfam family: Bacterial small subunit ribosomal RNA
Source: RNAcentral
UACGUAGGGUGCGAGCGUUGUCCGGAAUUAUUGGGCGUAAAGAGCUUGUAGGCGGUUUGUCACGUCUGCUGUGAAAUCCCGAGGCUCAACCUCGGGCCUGCAGUGGGUACGGGCAGACUGGAGUGCGGUAGGGGAGAAUGGAAUUCCUGGUGUAGCGGUGGAAUGCGCAGAUAUCAGGAGGAACACCGGUGGCGAAGGCGGCUACCUGGACAGAAACUGACGCUGAGGCGCGAAAGCUAGGGGAGCAAACAGG